ACCUUUGUGCAGUGGCAGUAUUGUAGCUAGUGAGGUUUAUCCAAGGUGUGAUUAUUGCUAAAAAAAAAAAAAAAAAAGAACUGUCAUCAGCUAAAGGUUAUUGUAAAAAAAUCCAUGCUAUAUGUGAUAAAGCCUUGAACUAAGGCU
Molecule: small nuclear RNA, 147 nt
Organism: Molossus molossus (Pallas's mastiff bat)
Lineage: Eukaryota; Metazoa; Chordata; Mammalia; Chiroptera; Molossidae
Product: U4 spliceosomal RNA
Exons: 1
Source: RefSeq, a predicted model, not a curated record